RNAcentral lists this ribosomal RNA (434 nucleotides) under uncultured bacterium. RNAcentral describes it as "partial 16S ribosomal RNA". It matches the Rfam family "Bacterial small subunit ribosomal RNA", at positions 28 to 506 of the family's 1533-position model. The record is from RNAcentral.
GAUGAACGCUGGCGGUAUGCUUAACACAUGCAAGUCGAACGGACUCUUCGGAGUUAGUGGCGGACGGGUGAGUAACGCGUGAGAAUCUGGCUUUGGGUUCGGGACAACCACUGGAAACGGUGGCUAAUACCGGAUGUGCCGAGAGGUAAAAGAGAAAUUGCCUGAAGAUGAGCUCGCGUCUGAUUAGCUAGUUGGUGAGGUAAAGGCUCACCAAGGCAGCGAUCAGUAGCUGGUCUGAGAGGAUGACCAGCCACACUGGGACUGAGACACGGCCCAGACUCCUACGGGAGGCAGCAGUGGGGAAUUUUCCGCAAUGGGCGAAAGCCUGACGGAGCAAUACCGCGUGAGGGAAGAAGGCUCUUGGGUUGUAAACCUCUUUUCUUAGGGAAGAACAAAAUGACGGUACCGAAGGAAUCAGCAUCGGCUAACUCCGU